RNAcentral lists this ribosomal RNA (253 nucleotides) under uncultured bacterium. RNAcentral's name for it is "partial 16S ribosomal RNA". It matches the Rfam family "Bacterial small subunit ribosomal RNA", at positions 524 to 776 of the family's 1533-position model. The record is from RNAcentral.
UACGAAGGGGGCUAGCGUUGUUCGGAUUUACUGGGCGUAAAGCGCACGUAGGCGGGUUGUUAAGUCAGGGGUGAAAUCCUGGAGCUCAACUCCAGAACUGCCUUUGAUACUGUCGGACUAGAGUACAGAAGGGGCAACUGGAAUUCUCGGUGUAGCGGUGAAAUGCGUAGAUAUCGAGAGGAACACCUGCGGCGAAGGCGGGGUUGCUGGGCUGAUACUGACGUGAGGCGCGAAAGCCAGGGGAGCGAACGGG